GACGAACGCUGGCGGCGUGCUUAACACAUGCAAGUCGAACGGAAAGGCCCUGCUUUUGUGGGGUGCUCGAGUGGCGAACGGGUGAGUAACACGUGAGUAACCUGCCCUUGACUUUGGGAUAACUUCAGGAAACUGGGGCUAAUACCGGAUAGGAGCUCCUGCUGCAUGGUGGGGGUUGGAAAGUUUCGGCGGUUGGGGAUGGACUCGCGGCUUAUCAGCUUGUUGGUGGGGUAGUGGCUUACCAAGGCUUUGACGGGUAGCCGGCCUGAGAGGGUGACCGGCCACAUUGGGACUGAGAUACGGCCCAGACUCCUACGGGAGGAAGCAGUGGGGAAUAUUGCACAAUGGGCGGAAGCCUGAUGCAGCAAAGCCGCGUGCGGGAUGACGGCCUUCGGGUUGUAAACCGCUUUCGCCUGUGACGAAGCGUGAGUGACGGUAAUGGGUAAAGAAGCACCGGCUAACUACGUG
RNAcentral lists this ribosomal RNA (468 nucleotides) under uncultured bacterium. Its description in RNAcentral is "partial 16S ribosomal RNA". It matches the Rfam family "Bacterial small subunit ribosomal RNA", at positions 28 to 507 of the family's 1533-position model. The record is from RNAcentral.